CCUACGGGUGGCAGCAGUGGGGAAUAUUGGGCAAUGGGCGCAAGCCUGACCCAGCAACGCCGCGUGAAGGAAGAAGGCUUUCGGGUUGUAAACUUCUUUUCUCAGGGACGAAGCAAGUGAAGGUACCUGAGGAAUAAGCCACGGCUAACUACGUGCCAGCAGCCGCGGUAAUACGUAGGUGGCAAGCGUUAUCCGGAUUUACUGGUUGUAAAGGGCGUGUAGGCGGGACUGCAAGUCAGAUGUGAAAACCACGGGCUCAACCGGUGGCCUGCAUGUGAAACUGGAGUUCUUGAGUACUGGAGAGGCAGACGGAAUUCCUGGUGUAGCGGUGAAAUGCGUAGAUAUUAGGAGGAACACCAGUGGCGAAGGAGGUCUGCUGGACAGCAACUGACGCUGAGGCGCGAAAGCGUGGGGAGCAAACAGGAUUAGAUACCCUUGUAGUC
This 443-nucleotide ribosomal RNA is filed under the name uncultured bacterium. RNAcentral describes it as "partial 16S ribosomal RNA". It matches the Rfam family "Bacterial small subunit ribosomal RNA", at positions 338 to 795 of the family's 1533-position model. The record is from RNAcentral.